Molecule: microRNA precursor, 43 nt
Filed under: Ciona intestinalis (vase tunicate)
Lineage: Eukaryota; Metazoa; Chordata; Ascidiacea; Phlebobranchia; Cionidae
Description: microRNA cin-mir-4213 precursor
Source: miRBase by way of RNAcentral
AAUAUUUUUAACGAUUUUCUCUUUCAGGCAUCAAAGAAGUGUU